CCUUAGCCUGUGCAAAAGAGCACGCUUGGAGGAAGACGUGUUGCAGUGUGCUCCAGCCAGAGAGCUUGUUAAGAAGGUUCUGCUUGAGAAAGCUGGUGGAGCGGCAAUCAUGAAAGAGUAUGAGGACACUGGGAGUUUGUGUGACAGUUCGAGGCGACAGAUGGUCAACAUUUUAGCGGCACACAUGACAGAAACCGAAGGGUAUGCCAGUCUUAAAGUACCUUAUUCCUGUUUUUUUUAUAUGUAAUAGUAUUGUAUUUUAAUUUUAGUUUUUAUUUUAGGAGAAUUCCACAAAGGCUGACUAAGGAAAAAUAUGCCCUUGGUGUCAUCACCUUGUUCCCAUACCUGAAAGACCCAUUCUCUAAAAAAGGCUAUGAGCAUUUCUAUGAUGCCCAAAGUGGAACAGGAUUCAUCGCUUGGCGACUCAAGACCAUCCAACGGAAGACUAAGCUUCGUCCUCUGUCAUCUAGUUCUCCGAAGGCAGAUGUCACAGGUGGUCCAACAGUCGCCAGGAAUAUCAGUCAAGAUCAGCUUCAGGAUGAGGCAUGU
This is a long non-coding RNA of Alosa sapidissima (American shad), 549 nucleotides long. RefSeq lists it as uncharacterized. The record is from RefSeq and is a predicted model, not a curated record. NCBI's taxonomy places the organism in Eukaryota, Metazoa, Chordata, Actinopteri, Clupeiformes, Clupeidae. The transcript has 4 exons.